UUACUUCAGCAUUAUAUGUACUAAGAUUGGAAUGAUACAAAGAAGAUUAGCAUGGUUCCUGUGCAAAGUUAACAUGCAAAUUUAUGAACCAUUCCAUAUUUUG
This is a small nuclear RNA of Nannospalax galili (Upper Galilee mountains blind mole rat), 103 nucleotides long. The record is from Ensembl. Lineage: Eukaryota; Metazoa; Chordata; Mammalia; Rodentia; Spalacidae.